UACGUAGGUCCCGAGCGUUGUCCGGAUUUAUUGGGCGUAAAGCGAGCGCAGGUGGUUUAUUAAGUCUGGUGUAAAAGGCAGUGGCUCAACCAUUGUAUGCAUUGGAAACUGGUAGACUUGAGUGCAGGAGAGGAGAGUGGAAUUCCAUGUGUAGCGGUGAAAUGCGUUGAUAUAUGGAGGAACACCGGUGGCGAAAGCGGCUCUCUGGCCUGUAACUGACACUGAGGCUCGAAAGCGUGGGGAGCAAACAGG
RNAcentral lists this ribosomal RNA (252 nucleotides) under uncultured bacterium. RNAcentral describes it as "partial 16S ribosomal RNA". It matches the Rfam family "Bacterial small subunit ribosomal RNA", at positions 524 to 776 of the family's 1533-position model. The record is from RNAcentral.